This 279-nucleotide unclassified non-coding RNA is filed under the name plant metagenome. Its description in RNAcentral is "partial contains small subunit ribosomal RNA, internal transcribed spacer 1, and 5.8S ribosomal RNA". The record is from RNAcentral.
UCUCCGUAGGUGAACCUGCGGAGGGAUCAUUACUGAGUUCACGCCCUACCGGGUAGAUCUCCCACCCUCCGUUAUUAUUACUUUGUUGCUUUGUCGGGCCGUUAGGCACCGGCCCAACUACCGGCCCCGGCUGGUAAGCCCCUGCCAGAGGACUCAAAAACCUGAAUAUUAGUGACGUCUGAGUACCAUAUCAUAGUUAAUACCUCCAACAACGGAUUCCUUGGCUCUGGCACCGAUGAAGAACGCAGCAGAUCGGAAUAGCACACGGCUGAACUCCAA